CUCGCCUGCAUGAAGUCGGAAUUGCUAGUAAUCGUAGGUCAGCAUACUACGGUGAAUACGUUCCCGGGCCUUGUACACACCGCCCGUCAAACCAUGAGAGUUGGCAACACCCGAAGUCGGUAGUCUAACCGCAAGGAGGACGCCGCCGAAGGUGGGGUUGAUGAUUAGGGUUAAGUCGUAACAAGGUAUC
RNAcentral lists this ribosomal RNA (190 nucleotides) under uncultured bacterium. Its description in RNAcentral is "partial 16S ribosomal RNA". It matches the Rfam family "Bacterial small subunit ribosomal RNA", at positions 1311 to 1500 of the family's 1533-position model. The record is from RNAcentral.